UACGGAGGGUGCGAGCGUUAAUCGGAAUUACUGGGCGUAAAGCGCACGCAGGCGGUUUGUUAAGCUAGAUGUGAAAGCCCCGGGCUCAACCUGGGAUGGUCAUUUAGAACUGGCAGACUAGAGUCUUGGAGAGGGGAGUGGAAUUCCAGGUGUAGCGGUGAGAUGCGUAGAUAUCUGGAGGAACAUCAGUGGCGAAGGCGACUCCCUGGCCAAAGACUGACGCUCAUGUGCGAAAGUGUGGGUAGCGAACAGG
This 253-nucleotide ribosomal RNA is filed under the name uncultured bacterium. Its description in RNAcentral is "partial 16S ribosomal RNA". It matches the Rfam family "Bacterial small subunit ribosomal RNA", at positions 524 to 776 of the family's 1533-position model. The record is from RNAcentral.